RNAcentral lists this ribosomal RNA (492 nucleotides) under uncultured bacterium. Its description in RNAcentral is "partial 16S ribosomal RNA". It matches the Rfam family "Bacterial small subunit ribosomal RNA", at positions 29 to 507 of the family's 1533-position model. The record is from RNAcentral.
AGUGAACGCUGGCGGUAGGCCUAACACAUGCAAGUCGAACGGCAGCACAGUAAGAGCUUGCUCUUACGGGUGGCGAGUGGCGGACGGGUGAGGAAUACAUCGGAAUCUACUUUUUCGUGGGGGAUAACGUAGGGAAACUUACGCUAAUACCGCAUACGACCUACGGGUGAAAGCAGGGGAUCUUCGGACCUUGCGCGAUUGAAUGAGCCGAUGUCGGAUUAGCUAGUUGGCGGGGUAAAGGCCCACCAAGGCGACGAUCCGUAGCUGGUCUGAGAGGAUGAUCAGCAACACUGGAACUGAGACACGGUCCAGACUCCUACGGGAGGAAGCAGUGGGGAAUAUUGGACAAUGGGCGCAAGCCUGAUCCAGCCAUACCGCGUGGGUGAAGAAGGCCUUCGGGUUGUAAAGCCCUUUUGUUGGGAAAGAAAAGCAGCAGGUUAAUACCCCGCUGUUCUGACGGUACCCAAAGAAUAAGCACCGGCUAACUUCGUG